CCUACGGGAGGCAGCAGUGAGGAAUAUUGCUCAAUGGUCGAGAGCCUGACCCAGCGACGCCGCGUGAGGGAUGAAGGUUUUCAGAUCGUAAACCUCUUUCAGAAGGGAAGCAGUUGCAUGGGCCCAAUCACCUGUGCAUUUACGUUACCUUAAAAGGACGCACAGGCUAACUCCGUGCCAGCAGCCACGGUAAUACGGAGGGUGCUAGCGUUAAUCGGAAUUACUGGGCGUAAAGGGCACGUAGGCUGUAUGUCAAGUCAAGGGGGAAAUCCCACGGCUCAACCGUGGAACUGCCUUUGAAACUGGCAAACUGGAGUAUGUGAGAGGGAGGCGGAAU
Molecule: ribosomal RNA, 337 nt
Filed under: uncultured bacterium
Lineage: Bacteria
Description: partial 16S ribosomal RNA
Rfam family: Bacterial small subunit ribosomal RNA
Source: RNAcentral